GGAAUAUGGAAAGCUUAUUUCUUUAUUGAAUGCCUAUGCACUUGUUGCAAAAGGCGUUCGGUUAGUCUGCUCCAAUGCAACCGGUAAAAAUGCAAAGUCUGUUGUACUUAAAACACAAGGAAGCGAUUCCCUUAAAGAUAACAUCAUAACAGUAUUUGGCAUGAACACUUUCAGCUGCUUAGAGCCUGUUAAUAUAUGCAUAUCAGAUGAUUGCAUGGUUGAUGGAUUCCUUUCUAGGCCUGGACAAGGCAGUGGCCGCAAUUUGGGAGAUAGGCAAUACUAUUUUGUAAAUGGUCGACCAGUGGAUAUGCCUAAAGUCGGCAAGCUUGUGAAUGAGUUAUAUAGAGGUGCAAACUCUCGCCAAUAUCCCAUUGCAAUUAUGAAUUUCACAGUUCCAACCAGAGCAUGUGAUGUGAAUGUAACUCCGGAUAAAAGAAAAAUAUUCUUUUCUGAUGAGGGUUCCAUAUUGCUCGCUUUAAGGGAGGGUUUACAGCGGUUUUAUUCCCCAAGUAAUGCCUUUUAUUCUGUCAAUAAAUUUGAUGAGCAUAUGAAGGUUACCGAUAGCUCUCAGUUAUAUUCUCCUUGUGAGAAAUCUCAUAAGUUGUCAAAACAGUUAUCUGCAAUUAGCAAUGACUCUAAAGAAAUUCACAUGGAGGACUCCACAGUGGGCGGCAGUAAUGUUGAAAUCAAAUCUCAGCUCUUGGAUUUUGGAGAAAAUGAUGAAGAUGUUGGAGAAAAUAAUGAAAUGGACUCAGUAAAGGACUUCACUCUUAGAGUACAUGGCAUUAAAAAGGCCUAUAGUUUUACAGAAAGUAAAAGUAGGCAACUAACAACUUUCCAUGAUAGUAAAAAUGCUCCAUCUCCUUCAAGAGUGUUUUUUAAAGAUAUUGCUGAAAAUAGAGAUUCUAAUAGUUUGUCACAUUCUGUUCAGUCAACGAUUAAAAAGUUUGUAACUAUAAGUAAGAGAAAGCAUGAAGAUGUUAAUACAGCACUAUCUGAAAUUCCAGUCUUGAGAAAUCAAACUCUUCAAAGUCCAUUGAAGAAAAGUAAUUCUGAGACAAAUGCUGCAGCUAAAGGUUCUCCAUUUAAUCAUCACCCCAGUAAAGAUUCUGCUGAGGUGAGUGAGAUUGAACCAUCCAAGUUUGCUAAAGCAGAAAUUAUCUUCAACAAAAUCAGGAAUUCGUCUUCUUAUGGAGGGAAGACCAACGAUGGAAAAAUUGAGGAGGAACUUCUGGGUGAAAAGAAGGCAACAACUGUGGCUGAUGUCCUGCCAAUUGCUUCUGGCAAGGAUCUUGAGAAAAUAUCUGAGGUUCUUAUAGUUACCACUCCUCCAUUACAUUCUUCCAUUUCAUUGCUAGAGACAUGAAUACAUACACUCAAUUGCAGCCUAAAUGUCUGAUAGUCUUAGUAUCACAUUGAAGGAACCUGCAGGUGAAGAAAAGGCAUUACCUCUUGCUGAUGCUGUGUUAAUCACUUCUCCCAGUGGCGGCCUUGAAAAAAUGUCUGAGGAUCUUAUGGUUGCAAGUUCUCCAUUUCAGUCUUCUGAUUCCACUUUAGAUGUUCCAAAGCCUUCUGCUGAAAAGAUAUGCUCCACCUUGCAAUUUAGUAUUCAGGAACUAAGGGCAAAAAGGCACCAGAGGCUGUCAAGAUUGCAAUUCAACAGUUGUGCAUCCAGAGGCAUGAAGAUGAACAGGUUUAGAAAGUAGAAACUUCUUUGGGAUGUUGGGAAAACAUUGCUUCUAUUCUGUUUUUAACCAGCUUUAGUUUUAAUGGUAAGACAUAGGAGUUAUGCUGCUGCAACAUUAGAGCUUUCUCAACCAGAUAAUGAGGAGCGAAAAGCAAGGGCUUUAGCUGCAGCUACUAAGGAAUUAGAAAGACUUUUCAAAAAACAAGACUUUGGAAGGAUGAAGGUUGUCAUGUGUAUUAUGUAUUUGUUUAUAUACUUACACACACUUAAAUACAAGCUUCUGAUGGGUGACAUUUGUUUCUUUCUGUUGAACUGUUAGCUUUCAACCAUGACUCUCUUGACCCACCUCUGGAAGUUAAUGCAUUGAAUUUUAACCUCUGGCUAUUAUUGACUUGGGCUUGAAUAUGAUUUCUAUUCCUGUGAAAUGAACUAACUCAAUGUGUGAAAGGUGGAUGAACUAUGAGUUUCAAUGCUGGUUGUUGCACCUUAUCGGUGCAUCUAAGUUGGGCUGGAUUGCUAAUGCUCCAUCCCCACUUAAACUUCAAGUUUUUAGUUAAUGAUCAAUGGCGUUUUUGUUUCACAGGUGAUUGGCCAAUUUAAUCUUGGAUUCAUUAUCGGGAAGUUAGAUCAAGAUUUGUUUAUUGUGGAUCAGCAUGCUGCUGAUGAGAAAUACAAUUUUGAGCGACUGUGUCAAUCAACAAUCUUGAACCAACAGCCUUUGCUGCGGUCAUUGAGGAUGGAGUUAUCUCCAGAGGAAGAAAUAAUUGCUUCAAUGAACAUGGAUGUAAUCAGGUAAAAUAUGGUUAUGCUUCUUGCCUUUAUUUAUAAUCUUUCGUGUCUUUGAAUUGUUAAUUUUAAGAAUUGAACUUUUGUAACUGUAUAUAAUCACGGAAUGUGUUCUGGCAUAUCCAAUUUAAGGAAGAAUGGAUUUACUUUGGAAGAGGAUCCACAUGCAUCUCCUGGGCACCGAUUUAAACUAAAAGCUGUUCCCUUUAGUAAGAAUGUAACUUUUGGAGUUGAAGGUAAUCCUUGUUUUGGUUUUUCUUUUCUUUUUUAAAAAUUUAUUGUGCGUUGACUAUGCUCGGCUGCAAAUACAAACUUGAAUAGUUAGAUCCAGUGAUCAUCUUCCGCUCCUAUUGAAUUGCAUCUAUAAUCUGAAUGGUUGCUCUCAUUUUCCUUGUGGUUAGAACACUGUCUCAUUGUGACAAUUCUCAACUGCUUAGAUUAACAGCAGCUCUAUAUGUUUUGUUAUAACUUUCUGUUGAUGAGCAUUAGCAUGAGUCAAUGAGCAUUUGGUUUUAUUAGGGUUGCAUUAUUGUUUAGGAUUCCUUGUUUGAUUAAGACAGUCAAUUAUUAUGCCUCAUCACAGCAAUGGUAUCAUAACUUGUAUCUGAUAAAGGUGAAAAUAUAUAACUAUAUAUUAGAUAAUUAUUGGAAUGAGUGUGGGAAAAGUUUACUAGUAUUUUUUGGAAACAGAUGUGAAGGACUUAAUCUCUACUCUUGCUGAUAGUCAAGGGGACUGCUCAAUAAUUGGUAGUUACAAAAUGGAUACCCCUGAUUCUGUCUGCCCAUCAAGAGUCCGUGCAAUGCUGGCAUCACGCGCAUGCAGAUCAUCUGUUAUGAUUGGAGAUCCACUAGGAAGGAAUGAAAUGCAGAAGAUACUUGAACAUUUGGCAGACCUGAGAUCACCUUGGAAUUGUCCCUAUGGAAGACCAACUAUGCGCCAUUUGGUAGACAUGAUGACCAUCUACAAAACAUCAGAUGAAAAUGAUGCAAGCUUGUGAUGGACCUUGAAAUGGCAGAUGAUCACCGUCAAUUCUCUUAACUUACUGUAUAGGUAUUUGUAAAUCACGCAACACCAACCUCCAACAGUCAUGGGAACUCUGGGAUCUGCUGUGGAUUGUUUAUAUCAAUUUUUUGUCUGUAAAUUAACCCUAAAAUCUGGGAAGCUGCACUAUGAUACCAUUCAUCUUGCACUAAUGUAACUGUCACGAUGUAUUAUUAUUGCCAGGAAAGGUGAUAACCUCACCUCUUCAAAUGUUGAUGUGGAAACUCAUGGGGAUAGAAAAGGAAAAAUUCGGAAAGGAAUGUCACUUGUCGACUUAUUUGCUUAAGCUUUUGACAGUCGGCUAUUUGAGGUGCAGUCUCUAUUUACGUUUCCCUACAGAAGUUCACUGUUAUCUUUUUCAACCCAUAUUCCCG
Molecule: unclassified non-coding RNA, 3889 nt
Filed under: Hevea brasiliensis (rubber tree)
Lineage: Eukaryota; Viridiplantae; Streptophyta; Magnoliopsida; Malpighiales; Euphorbiaceae
Source: RNAcentral